RNAcentral lists this ribosomal RNA (509 nucleotides) under Rhodotorula taiwanensis. Its description in RNAcentral is "partial large subunit ribosomal RNA". It matches the Rfam family "Eukaryotic large subunit ribosomal RNA", at positions 121 to 645 of the family's 3401-position model. Lineage: Eukaryota; Fungi; Basidiomycota; Microbotryomycetes; Sporidiobolales; Sporidiobolaceae. The record is from RNAcentral.
UCUGGCACCUUCGGUGUCCGAGUUGUAAUCUCUAGAAGUGUUUUCCGCGUUGGACCGCACACAAGUCUGUUGGAAUACAGCGGCAUAGUGGUGAGACCCCCGUAUAUGGUGCGGACGCCCAACGCUUUGUGAUACACUUUCGAAGAGUCGAGUUGUUUGGGAAUGCAGCUCAAAUUGGGUGGUAAAUUCCAUCUAAAGCUAAAUAUUGGCGAGAGACCGAUAGCGAACAAGUACCGUGAGGGAAAGAUGAAAAGCACUUUGGAAAGAGAGUUAACAGUACGUGAAAUUGUUGGAAGGGAAACGCUUGAAGUCAGACUUGCUUGCCGAGCAAUCGGUUUGCAGGCCAGCAUCAGUUUUCCGGGGUGGAUAAUGGUAGAGAGAAGGUAGCAGUUUCGGCUGUGUUAUAGCUCUCUGCUGGAUACACCUUGGGGGACUGAGGAACGCAGUGUGCCUUACGGCGGAUUUCUCGAGAUCUUCACACUUAGGAUGCUGGUGGAAUGGCUUUAAAC